Molecule: ribosomal RNA, 656 nt
Filed under: Salmonella enterica
Lineage: Bacteria; Pseudomonadati; Pseudomonadota; Gammaproteobacteria; Enterobacterales; Enterobacteriaceae
Also listed under: 1 other name
Description: partial 23S ribosomal RNA
Rfam family: Bacterial large subunit ribosomal RNA
Source: RNAcentral
GGGUUGUGAGGUUAAGCGACUAAGCGUACACGGUGGAUGCCCUGGCAGUCAGAGGCGAUGAAGGGCGUGCUAAUCUGCGAUAAGCGCCGGUAAGGUGAUAUGAACCGUUAUAACCGGCGAUACCCGAAUGGGGAAACCCAGUGUGAUUCGUCACACUAUCAUUAACUGAAUCCAUAGGUUAAUGAGGCGAACCGGGGGAACUGAAACAUCUAAGUACCCCGAGGAAAAGAAAUCAACCGAGAUUCCCCCAGUAGCGGCGAGCGAACGGGGAGGAGCCCAGAGCCUGAAUCAGCAUGUGUGUUAGUGGAAGCGUCUGGAAAGGCGCGCGAUACAGGGUGACAGCCCCGUACACAAAAGCGCAUGUGUUGUGAGCUCGAUGAGUAGGGCGGGACACGUGGUAUCCUGUCUGAAUAUGGGGGGACCAUCCUCCAAGGCUAAAUACUCCUGACUGACCGAUAGUGAACCAGUACCGUGAGGGAAAGGCGAAAAGAACCCCGGCGAGGGGAGUGAAAAAGAACCUGAAACCGUGUACGUACAAGCAGUGGGAGCACAGGUUUACCUGUGUGACUGCGUACCUUUUGUAUAAUGGGUCAGCGACUUAUAUUCUGUAGCAAGGUUAACCGUAUAGGGGAGCCGGAGGGAAACCGAGUCUUAAC